Molecule: ribosomal RNA, 482 nt
Filed under: uncultured bacterium
Lineage: Bacteria
Description: partial 16S ribosomal RNA
Rfam family: Bacterial small subunit ribosomal RNA
Source: RNAcentral
AUUGAACGCUGGCGGCAUGCCUUACACAUGCAAGUCGAACGGUAACGGGCCUUCUGGUGCCGGCGAGUGGCGCACGGGUGAGUAGUACAUCGGAACGUGCCCGAUCGUGGGGGAUAACGCGGCGAAAGAUUUGCUAAUAUCGCACAUGAUCUCUGGAGGAAAGCGGGGGACAGCAAGGCCUCGCGCGGUCGGAGCGGCGGAUGGCUGGUUAGGUAGUUGGUGGGGUAAAAGCUUACCAAGGCGACGAUCUGUAGCUGGUCUGAGAGGAUGAUCAGCCACACUGGGACUGAGACACGGCCCAGACUCCUACGGGAGGCAGCAGUGGGGAAUUUUGGACAAUGGGCGCAAGCCUGAUCCAGCCAUGCCGCGUGUAGGAUGAAGGCCUUCGGAUUGUAAAGUGCUUUUGGACGGAAGGAAAAGCACUCAGUUAAUACAGGAGGGUCAUGACGGUACCGGAAGAAUAAGCACCGGCUAACUACGUG